RNAcentral lists this ribosomal RNA (252 nucleotides) under Erwinia amylovora. Its description in RNAcentral is "partial 23S ribosomal RNA". It matches the Rfam family "Bacterial large subunit ribosomal RNA", at positions 1134 to 1298 of the family's 2925-position model. Lineage: Bacteria; Pseudomonadati; Pseudomonadota; Gammaproteobacteria; Enterobacterales; Erwiniaceae. The record is from RNAcentral.
GUAAUAGCUCACUGGUCGAGUCGGCCUGCGCGGAAGAUGUAACGGGGCUAAACCAUGCACCGAAGCUGCGGCAGCGGACGUAUCACCCAAGCAGAUUCACUGAAGUGGAUAACGAUUGACGGAGCGCAGCGACGUCAAUGCGCCAUCAAAGUCGAGUCGACUUCGGGAUACGUCCGUUGGGUAGGGGAGCGUUCUGUAAGCCGUCGAAGGUGUGCUGUGAGGCAUGCUGGAGGUAUCAGAAGUGCGAAUGCU